This 325-nucleotide RNase P RNA is filed under the name Thomasclavelia spiroformis. RNAcentral's name for it is "RNase P RNA component class B". It matches the Rfam family "Bacterial RNase P class B". From Rfam's summary of the family: Ribonuclease P (RNase P) is a ubiquitous endoribonuclease, found in archaea, bacteria and eukarya as well as chloroplasts and mitochondria. Its best characterised activity is the generation of mature 5'-ends of tRNAs by cleaving the 5'-leader elements of precursor-tRNAs. Cellular RNase Ps are ribonucleoproteins. Lineage: Bacteria; Bacillati; Bacillota; Erysipelotrichia; Erysipelotrichales; Coprobacillaceae. The record is from RNAcentral.
AAUGACAGAUAAUCGCUGCUAGCAAUAGUAGAGGAAAGUCCAGGCUGCCACAAUCUGCGAUGAUUGUAGUGAUUGUGCCUCACGAAUCAAUAAGUGAGGGUAGUGAAAACUAACGACAGAGUGAAAACCUAAGGGCAACUAUGGUGGAAACUCAUAAAUGGCUCCACAGAGACAAUGUCAUGGGAAACCAUGAGUGAAAAGAGGAAAGCUCCGCAAGGCAGAAACCCAAAUUUUGGUAGGGGAACCCGGAAAUGGGAAAUGAACGAUGGAAGGGACGCAAAUGCGUAGAUAAAUGAUUAUCUUAUACAGAACUUGGCUUAUUAUC